RNAcentral lists this ribosomal RNA (474 nucleotides) under uncultured organism. RNAcentral describes it as "partial 16S ribosomal RNA". It matches the Rfam family "Bacterial small subunit ribosomal RNA", at positions 335 to 800 of the family's 1533-position model. The record is from RNAcentral.
ACUCCUGCGGGAGGCAGCAGUGGGGAAUAUUGCACAAUGGGCGCAAGCCUGAUGCAGCCAUGCCGCGUGUAUGAAGAAGGCCUUCGGGUUGUAAAGUACUUUCAGCGGGGAGGAAGGCAAUACGGUUAAUAACCGUGUUGAUUGACGUUACCCGCAGAAGAAGCACCGGCUAACUCCGUGCCAGCAGCCGCGGUAAUACGGAGGGUGCAAGCGUUAAUCGGAAUUACUGGGCGUAAAGCGCACGCAGGCGGUCUGUCAAGUCGGAUGUGAAAUCCCCGGGCUCAACCUGGGAACUGCAUUCGAAACUGGCAGGCUUGAGUCUUGUAGAGGGGGGUAGAAUUCCAGGUGUAGCGGUGAAAUGCGUAGAGAUCUGGAGGAAUACCGGUGGCGAAGGCGGCCCCCUGGACAAAGACUGACGCUCAGGUGCGAAAGCGUGGGGAGCAAACAGGAUUAGAAACCCUAGUAGUCCCAUGA